This is a long non-coding RNA of Jatropha curcas, 825 nucleotides long. RefSeq lists it as uncharacterized. The record is from RefSeq and is a predicted model, not a curated record. Lineage: Eukaryota; Viridiplantae; Streptophyta; Magnoliopsida; Malpighiales; Euphorbiaceae.
UGCAUUUUAGCGUGGGCAUCAAUCUCAGAAUCAGAAUCUGAAGAGGAAGAGGAAGAAGAAGAAGAAGAAGAGUGUUUGUCAUUUCCACGUUGACGCUUCUCAAUUUCUGGUGAUUCCCCCAUUGUUUGAUCGAGAAGCAACGAUCUCCCUCUCAUCCCCUCCGGUUAAUUUUCCGACCUCUCAACGGUCGGCGAAAGAUGGCUACUAAACCUUCAGGCGCUGGUAAUCACGUCAUCGGCCUUUCUUUCACGGGUCGAAGCCUUUACAACGCCAAUCGAGGCUCUCCUUCUUACAGCGCCGCCAUGCCUUCCCGAUCUACUUCCGUCGAGUUCCAGUGACGUGAGUGACAGUGGAAAGGAUGCUGAGACCUGAGAGGGACCCCGCCGACACUGCCUUAUAUGGCCCUUCGGAGACGUACGCGGCCCCAACAGCGAAUGAUAUUCGAGAUACCAUAUAUGAUCUGCGUCACCGUCGGACUCUGGUUUUGCGACAAUCGGAGGCGGACAAGUUUCUAUUUGGUGGGUCUGGAAAUUGCAAUAGCGCAAAUGCAUUGAAGUUGAACCCCAAAGAUAACUUAGAAGGAAGAUGCAGAUUGUUGUGAUGAAUUAUGGUGGUUUUGUUAGAAGCACUGACGGAUUGCAAUCUCUAGUUCUAUACUCUGUUGAUUCAUUAGUUAUGUGGCUGCAAUGUUGCCUUUGAAAUUGAUAAGCUUUCCUUAUUUAGCAUUGGUUUUGUACUUUACUUCUGAACCAGCAAGGAAGAAGCGAAAAAGAAUAUGUAUGCACGUUGUUAUUUGUGGGUUCACAAUACGGGUUUUUUUGGUCU